This 127-nucleotide small RNA is filed under the name Marmota monax (woodchuck). The record is from RNAcentral. Lineage: Eukaryota; Metazoa; Chordata; Mammalia; Rodentia; Sciuridae.
GCUGGGCAUGGAGGCCCACUCCUGUAAUCCCAGCGACUUGGGAGGCUGAGGCGGGAGGAUUGCAAGUUCAAAGACAGCCUCAGCAAUUUACUGAGGCCCUAAGCAUCUUAGAGAGACUCUGUCUCAA